Molecule: long non-coding RNA, 319 nt
Filed under: Arabidopsis thaliana (thale cress)
Lineage: Eukaryota; Viridiplantae; Streptophyta; Magnoliopsida; Brassicales; Brassicaceae
Description: long non-coding RNA (ATHA_LNC000116)
Source: RNAcentral
UCUCUUUCUUUGCUCUGUUGACAAACCGCUCUCACCAGGUAGUCCAACCAGUGCUUGCCUCAGCGGCGUUAACUCCACCAGCUCCAUCACUUCCUCUAUGAAUAUCUGUACCAAACAAAACAAAAAUUGUUAGUAUAGUUUCGAUUUCCUCAUUUUACUUCUGGAAAUGAUAAUGUCUCUGAAUAACCUUUCUCUUGUUUUUAUCAACUUCUUUAGGUAAUCGGAGCCAGGCUGAGUAAACCAAGGACUCGUAAACAGUGACAUGUGGGGAAUGGAUAUCAGUUUGUUCACAGUAUCCUGAGAUACGGGCAAAUGUUUG